Molecule: ribosomal RNA, 469 nt
Filed under: uncultured bacterium
Lineage: Bacteria
Description: partial 16S ribosomal RNA
Rfam family: Bacterial small subunit ribosomal RNA
Source: RNAcentral
GACGAACGCUGGCGGCGUGCUUAACACAUGCAAGUCGAACGGAAAGGCCCUGCUUGCAGGGUGCUCGAGUGGCGAACGGGUGAGUAACACGUGGGUGAUCUGCCCCUUACUUUGGGAUAAGCCUGGGAAACUGGGUCUAAUACUGGAUAGGACCAUGCUGUAGGUGGUGUGGUGGAAAGAUUAGUUUCGGUAAGGGAUGAGCUCGCGGCCUAUCAGCUUGUUGGUGGGGUAAUGGCCUACCAAGGCGUCGACGGGUAGCCGGCCUGAGAGGGUGGACGGCCACAUUGGGAAUGAGAUACGGCCCAGACUCCUACGGGAGGCAGCAGUGGGGAAUAUUGCACAAUGGGCGAAAGCCUGAUGCAGCGACGCCGCGUGGGGGAUGACGGCCUUCGGGUUGUAAACUCCUUUCAGCCAUGACGAAGCCCUUGUGGUGACGGUAGUGGUAGAAGAAGCACCGGCUAACUACGUG